AUAUUUUAUACAAGAUACAAGGGAAAAAAAUCCUAACAAAAUGACAUCUAAUAAGGAGUAGUAUGCUUUAUCACAACUUUGGCAUUAAACUGUAUGGACUACAGUUUUAUAUAGCAGCUUAUUGUAACUGCUCUGUUCUUUAUUUAUAAAAUCAGUGAGUAACAUAGGUUGGUAAAGAUCCCUAGAAGUUUUCUGGUCUGACCCCCUUCUACAACACGGUCCAAUUGAAUCAGUUUGCUCAGGGGGUUUUCAAGGUUGGAACAUCUUCAAGAAUGGAAGUUCCACAACCUCUUUGAGCAACAAGUGCAUAGUAAAUAAUUAUAAUAACAAUAAAGGAAGAAAAAUCCUUGUAUCUAUUUGAUAUUUCCAGUGUUUCAGCUUGUCUGUUGCCUUUCAUGCUGUCUCUGCAUAUCUACCCAUUAGAGGGUUGUGAACAGCAAUGAGAUCUCCCCUGAGCCUUUCCAUCUUAAUGGUGAAAAGACCUAAUUAUCUCAGCCUCUCCAUGGGCGUCCAAAUCUGAUGAAUUUGGUUGCCCUUCAUUAAACACCAUUGUGUCAAUGUUGUUCAUGUUCUGGGGAGCCCAAAAGGGGACAUGAUCCAGGUGUGUUCUCAUGUGUGCCAAAUGCCAGGGAAGAAUUGCUUCCUUCAGCCUCCUGGCUCUCCUAUAUAUAUCAUGAUGCAGCAGAUCUUUGCUGCUGCAAGGGCUCAUUGCUCAUGCACUCUUAGUGUGCAAAAGCCACUAACAUGGCUAUACUGAUUUUCUGAGUCAGAGGCUCAGGAGAUGCAGGAGAGUUCUGGCCUCUCUUAAUCCCCUGUGCUACCUUCCUUCAUUAUGGCCAUGUAGCUACCUUCUGAGAAUGAUUCCUGAUGUAUCCUUGAGAGUGACAGGGCAUGGGAGUUGCUGACUUAUGCUUGUCAGUGAAAUUCACCUUAUCUGUUCCUGCUUUCAUUUUUUUCAUCACGUAGCAAUGGGUAUGAAUACCAAGCAAAUGUUUAGUGUCAGCAAGUAAGAAUGCAUAUCCCCCUCUCUUCUCCAUGCUCAAGAACAAGCAUCAGUUUGGUGUUUCUCCCACUGAAAUGCACUUUGAUGACAAAAACUUUUUCUUUCUUGGCUUGGAUCAAAAUGAAUGUUUUAGGGAAGAGUAAGAUCAAAUGAUGCUUUUUUUUUUUUUCGUUCGUCACAAAGUGAGAAUUAUUCCUCUUUACCAGAACUGUGGUAGACAAAUACACAUGCAAAAUGGAGGUAUCAAAGACUGUCAAAAUAUGCAUCAAUCAAACUUUUUGUGUUAAAGGAGCCAAAACCAGUUUCUGGAAGGUAAAAGACAAAGAGAAUACAAAUAAGGCAACCAGAUAUUUUACCUCCUUCUGCUUUUAUUGCAGACUUUUUUACAGAACAGCAUUGUUAUCUGAAAGUGAUUACUUUCUGUUUCAGCAAGGUGUAAACUCAGAUAAAGGAUGAUGUAUCCCAAAUGUAAAUGGAAAUAUGAAAAUAAAGUUCUUUAACUGGCCUUCUUGAGGAAAGGAACUGUGCUGCUGAUCGAGCAGGUCAUUUCUGUCAUUAUCUAAUGUGACUAAAUAAACUGAGAUCCACAAUGAACAGUUAGUACAGAAAUUUGCAAAUGAGUGUUACAGCUCUGGAGGUUACAAGUAUCCCCACUUUUAAUUUUUUUAUCCAUUUAAAUUUAACUGUAUUCAUUGUAAUAUAGAUUUUCAAGCAUCUUAAUCUUUAAGCAUCCCUACUCUAGUUUUUAUGUUAGUGAAUUCAUUGAGAUUAUAAUGUGCUAUAAGAAAAAUCACUCUAUUCAUAAUCGGCAAAGAAAUAUGAGCACUGAUCUUCCAUCUAGGAAUUAUUUAUGUUGGCACAUCAGUAGGAUGAAGGUUUUUGAAAGCAGGAAUCAGACUAACUCGUGCAUCCUGUCUGCUGAGGCUGUGUGAAGGUGCUCUGGUUAGCUUGUGUUCCUGAUUUUACCCUUACAUUUAUUCACAGGUAUUGUAUGCUUAUUCAUUAGUCUACCAAUAUCAUCCCUUACAGCACUCCUUUAUGGAGAACAGGGUUCCUGUUCUUUGUCUUCAGUAGUUAUUUUCAUCCCUCUUAAACUUUGUUUUGCCAAGCUAAACUGUCUUGGCUUCUAUGGGAAGAUAUGAGUAAGUGAAUAGACAGACUAGUAUUAAUUUUCUGGUCAUACUGCUGAUUCAGUUCCCUUUUUUGAAUGACCAGAACUGUGUAUCAUAUGAGGAGGGAUUUUACUGUGGUGUGUCAAAACAUUGCUGUCACCAUUUUUCAAAUGCAUUCCAAGCAUCCUGCUGGUGACUCAUUCUGAACUGUCAUCUUUCAGUUAUAACAACACAGUUUUAUUUCUUUUUAACCACUUCCUACUAUUAAAUCAUUGGCUCUACAAUGAAACUCUGAGGAUGCAGCCACGCAUGGCUGCUUCUGUUACUGGUUCCCUGGAUCAUACAAUUCUUCUUUCAUACCAUUAAUGCCUCUUAAAUUAUUUGAAGUGACACUUUUUCUAAACUAUUUCUACUUUCUUGUCAAAGACAACUGAAAAUUUUGUAGAAAAAAGAAAAA
Molecule: long non-coding RNA, 2572 nt
Organism: Pezoporus flaviventris
Lineage: Eukaryota; Metazoa; Chordata; Aves; Psittaciformes; Psittacidae
Exons: 2
Source: RefSeq, a predicted model, not a curated record